RNAcentral lists this ribosomal RNA (200 nucleotides) under uncultured bacterium. Its description in RNAcentral is "partial 16S ribosomal RNA". It matches the Rfam family "Bacterial small subunit ribosomal RNA", at positions 8 to 211 of the family's 1533-position model. The record is from RNAcentral.
AGAGUUUGAUCAUGGCUCAGGACGAACGCUGGCGGCGUGCUUAACACAUGCAAGUCGAACGGGCCAUCCUUUUGGGUGGUGAGUGGCGAACGGGUGAGUAACACGUGGGUAACCUGCCCCAGGCUCUGGGAUAACUCCGGGAAACCGGGGCUAAUACCGGAUAUGACCAUUCUACGCAUGUAGUGGUGGUGGAAAGGGUU